UGGUGGAGCGAUUUGUCUGGUUAAUUCCGUUAACGAACGAGACCCCGGCCUGCUAAAUAGCCGCGUCGACCCCUCUCCACGAAACCCGGACGGCGGGACGCCGGACCCCCCUCCCCUCCCGGGGAGCGCGGGGACCCGCCCCCGUCCGGGCGGUCGGGUCGGCGCGUCGGCUUCUUAGAGGGACUGUCGGCGCUCAGCCGACGGAGGUUCGGGGCGAUAACA
Molecule: ribosomal RNA, 222 nt
Filed under: uncultured eukaryote
Lineage: Eukaryota
Description: partial 18S ribosomal RNA
Rfam family: Eukaryotic small subunit ribosomal RNA
Source: RNAcentral